CGGAAUGUGGCGCAGCCUGGUAGCGCACUUGCAUGGGGUGCAAGGGGUCGGAGGUUCGAAUCCUCUCAUUCCGA
RNAcentral lists this transfer RNA (74 nucleotides) under Limnobacter thiooxidans. Its description in RNAcentral is "tRNA-Pro". It matches the Rfam family "tRNA". From Rfam's summary of the family: Transfer RNA (tRNA) molecules are approximately 80 nucleotides in length. Lineage: Bacteria; Pseudomonadati; Pseudomonadota; Betaproteobacteria; Burkholderiales; Burkholderiaceae. The record is from RNAcentral. RNAcentral also lists the same sequence under 1 other name.